UUAAAUAAUCCUACCUCCGCCCCUGUCUGUAUAGGAAAUGCUGAUGCCGAGGUCUCAUGCUAUUCUCGUUGCUAUCUCUUCUCUGAUGGAAUGGAUCCUGAUCAAUGCUGAGUUGCCAUGCAUUCCAGUACAGGACAAUGUUUUCGGGGCUUUUUUCUAGCCAAGAGCGGAGAUUCCUUGGACAAUGUACGUACCCUCCAAGUUAGGAGGAAUAAUUCAAAUAUCUGCCAUGAGCUGGUUGAGGAGCGGUGGCUUAGGAAAAAGAGGUGUUUUCACUGCUGUAUACAUUACACCUUUCUUGCCUGGUUACUCUCAUCUAGCUCCUAUUGCAAGCCUACCUGACGUAGAUGUAAAGGAAUAUCUGAUAAGCUAGCCCAUUUUCACCAAUUAAGAAGAUGCAGAAAUUGCAGUGCAUGUCGUCAUGGAUGUGGAUCGAGCCUUGGAGUCGACAAGCCACUGGCAGAGGGAACAUAUAUGGACCCAAUCGGGGCAUCAUCUGCAACCCAGAAGAAUACACGUACGUAUGAUGGACAUUACAUUACAUUGUAUUAGUGCAAGAUUUGCUCUAUUUAAUAAUUGCGAAGCCUUGUCAAUGGCUUCUUGGGAUCCACACGUUCUUGUCUCCAGGACAGCAUGCACUGCCAUGUACCUUUCAAGCAGGCUUCGUAGCUAGGAAUCCUAUGUUCAUCUUCACAUCUCCUACGUUCAUCUUUUGCUAGGAGAUUAAUUAAUUUUAACCCUAGCCAGUUGAGAUCAGAGAGCUUGAAUCUUAUUGGUUUUAUUUAAAAUUUAUCGGGAAAUUCUUGAGUCA
Populus trichocarpa (black cottonwood) is the source of this 811-nucleotide long non-coding RNA. RefSeq lists it as uncharacterized. The transcript is spliced from 2 exons. NCBI's taxonomy places the organism in Eukaryota, Viridiplantae, Streptophyta, Magnoliopsida, Malpighiales, Salicaceae. The record is from RefSeq and is a predicted model, not a curated record.